This 76-nucleotide transfer RNA is filed under the name Acidobacteriota bacterium. RNAcentral describes it as "Acidobacteria bacterium (activated sludge metagenome) tRNA-Thr". It matches the Rfam family "tRNA". From Rfam's summary of the family: Transfer RNA (tRNA) molecules are approximately 80 nucleotides in length. Their secondary structure includes four short double-helical elements and three loops (D, anti-codon, and T loops). The record is from RNAcentral. Lineage: Bacteria; Pseudomonadati; Acidobacteriota.
GCCCUCAUAGCUCAGUUGGAAGAGCAACGGUCUUGUAAACCGUGGGUCGCCUGUUCGAUUCGGGCUGGGGGCACCA